AGUGAACGCUGGCGGUAGGCCUAACACAUGCAAGUCGAACGGCAGCACAGUAAGAGCUUGCUCUUACGGGUGGCGAGUGGCGGACGGGUGAGGAAUACAUCGGAAUCUACUUUUUCGUGGGGGAUAACGUAGGGAAACUUACGCUAAUACCGCAUACGACCUACGGGUGAAAGCAGGGGAUCUUCGGACCUUGCGCGAUUGAAUGAGCCGAUGUCGGAUUAGCUAGUUGGCGGGGUAAAGGCCCACCAAGGCGACGAUCCGUAGCUGGUCUGAGAGGAUGAUCGGCCACACUGGAACUGAGACACGGCCCAGACUCCUGCGGGAGGCAGCAGGGGGGAAUAUUGAACAAGGGGCGAAAGCCUGACCCAGCCAUGCCGGGUGGGUGAAGAAGGCCUUCGGAUUGUAAAGCUCUUUUGUGGGGAAAGAAAAGCAGCGGUUUAACCCCCGCUUUUCCGGACGGUACCAAAAAAAAAAGCACCGGCUAACUUCGUG
RNAcentral lists this ribosomal RNA (492 nucleotides) under uncultured bacterium. RNAcentral describes it as "partial 16S ribosomal RNA". It matches the Rfam family "Bacterial small subunit ribosomal RNA", at positions 29 to 507 of the family's 1533-position model. The record is from RNAcentral.